GAUGAACGCUGGCGGCGUGCUUAACACAUGCAAGUCGAACGGUGAAGGCGGAGCUUGCUCUGCUGGAUCAGUGGCGAACGGGUGAGUAACACGUGAGCAAUCUGCCCCUGACUCUGGGAUAAGCGCUGGAAACGGCGUCUAAUACUGGAUACGAUCUGCGAAGGCAUCUUCAGCAGCUGGAAAGAACUUCGGUCAGGGAUGAGCUCGCGGCCUAUCAGCUUGUUGGUGAGGUAACGGCUCACCAAGGCGUCGACGGGUAGCCGGCCUGAGAGGGUGACCGGCCACACUGGGACUGAGACACGGCCCAGACUCCUACGGGAGGCAGCAGUGGGGAAUAUUGCACAAUGGGCGAAAGCCUGAUGCAGCAACGCCGCGUGAGGGACGACGGCCUUCGGGUUGUAAACCUCUUUUAGCAGGGAAGAAGCGAAAGUGACGGUACCUGCAGAAAAAGCGCCGGCUAACUACGUG
RNAcentral lists this ribosomal RNA (468 nucleotides) under uncultured bacterium. Its description in RNAcentral is "partial 16S ribosomal RNA". It matches the Rfam family "Bacterial small subunit ribosomal RNA", at positions 28 to 507 of the family's 1533-position model. The record is from RNAcentral.